This is a non-coding RNA of Cathartes aura (turkey vulture), 73 nucleotides long. Lineage: Eukaryota; Metazoa; Chordata; Aves; Accipitriformes; Cathartidae. The record is from Rfam.
GGGGAAUUAGCUCAAAUGGUAGAGCGCUUGCUUAGCAUGUGAGAGGUAGCAGGAUUGAUGCCUGCAUCCUCCA